UAUUAUGCAACUUUUCACUCC
RNAcentral lists this microRNA (21 nucleotides) under Echinococcus granulosus. RNAcentral's name for it is "egr-miR-2162-3p". RNAcentral also lists the same sequence under 1 other name. Lineage: Eukaryota; Metazoa; Platyhelminthes; Cestoda; Cyclophyllidea; Taeniidae. The record is from miRBase by way of RNAcentral.